Bubalus bubalis (water buffalo) is the source of this 3369-nucleotide long non-coding RNA. RefSeq lists it as uncharacterized. The transcript is spliced from 4 exons. The record is from RefSeq and is a predicted model, not a curated record. NCBI's taxonomy places the organism in Eukaryota, Metazoa, Chordata, Mammalia, Artiodactyla, Bovidae.
UGAAUUUGAGCCAACUCUGGGAGAUAGUGAAGGACAGGGAAGCCUGGCAUGCUGCAGUCCAUAGGGUCACAAAGAGUCAGACAUGACUUAGUGACUGAACAACAACCUUUUACUCAGGUCAGACGUGGUAAAGACCCCAGUGCGGUCAACAGAGUAACAACUGGAUCCCCAGAUGCGGUCACAGGCCAGGUUCUGUGAAUGAGGGAAAAUCCAAGCUUAAGUCAAGGUCUAGGCAGGAAAGUUACUGUGAACUCUGGAAAAAUUGAGACCUUAAAUAUUUUGGUAUAGUCCAAUCCAAUAGUGAAAGUGACCUAGUCUGACAGUUAUUCAGGAUGUACAAUAUGUCUUAUAAACUAUCUUAUCUACCGAGCAGAUUCUUCCGUGGGGCCAUCUGCUCAGUUCUGCAGCCCUCAGCUGUUCUUGGAACUGGAAAAAAAAAAAAAAUCCUGCUUUGGGAAAAAAAUCAAUUACUUCUCUUAUAGAGACAUAGAUUUAAUGUGUCACAGGAAUAGAUGCUGUAGAAAUCCGUAAAUUGAUCACACUGAUUAUGUCUCCACUUGAUUGAGAGAUCUUAGGGUAAAUAAAGUGUGGCUCCAUGUAGAGGCCGUCAGAUGAUGUAGGUUACCAUUUUAAUAAUGGAUUCAGCAGUUUUAGAAAGGAGAGUAAGAACACCAUGGCAUUUUCACACUGAAAUAGAUUUCAGGCAUCUUUCCUGUCGUAAUGCCUGGUUGAGGCUCUUUUCCUGGUGUUUUUGAAGCUGUGGUUCUCUGCUACCAGCAGUUUCAAAAAUAAAAGCUUCGAAUUUGGCUCCAUUUGGGGUUCAGGCAAAUUAGUGCAGUUUGUUCUGGUUUGUGCUUGAGGUGCUGUUGGGUCCAAGUCCUGGCAUGGAUGCUGUGUUUGUGAACAGGGCCUGCAUCAGCUGAGCCCGUAAGUAACAGGAAAGGCUUGGCUGGCAGCGCUUGGCGGCAGUUACCCUGGUGCAUUUGCAUUCGUGUCCACAGGGCCUCUGCACUCCCUCCCAGAAGGGAGCAUGGGCUCCCCCCCACCUCACCCUCAUAUUCAGGCUGAGCUUGGGGAGACAGAGAUGGCAGGGUGUCAGUCGGUGGAUAAAUACAGAUGUUGAGAUGCCUGACUUCUGCUCCCAGCCCAGCACACCUGCCCAAGGGUCAGACACACACCUGUCAAUGCUUGUGUUUGCUGCUGGGACCAUGUGGGGUGGGGGGUUCUGAGGGGCAGGGCGCCAAUGAGCCCCACCCGUGGGUCAGCGUGUCUGUCCUGCCAGGCAGCGCGCUCAGCCCUUCUUCCAUCCACGUGAGCCUGGCGGUCCCCCCAGCUCGGCCCUAGGUCGUAGCGCCUGCGUUUUCACACCCGAGGAAGGUCAGGUCAGGAAGGACUGGACUGGAAAGCUCCACGACAGACAGUGGUGGGGCUCAUUCAAAUUCUUUUCAGCCCCCAAGUGGUUCUGUUUUCUGCCUCGCGGUCUCCGUAAAUACAGGUGGAUGGUAGCAUAAAUAAAUUGUUAACUUCAGCAUUUGUACAGGCCAAACAUCUGUGAAAACCACAGUAGUCUGAUUAUAAAGAUCUCAUGUAAAUCAAAUAUCUUAAUAUGGUACCACCAAGUGACGGCCACCUGUGUUACCUGAAUGUAGCCUAUGGUUGGCCGGGGAUCAAACCCGUGCCCCCUACACUGGCAGGCGGACUCUUAUCCACCACACCACCAGGGAAUUCCCUAGGGAAGAACCUUUGUAUCCUAUUCCAAGUUCAUCAGUAAAGGGGUGUUGCCUGUAAGUUUAAAUUCUACAUAUAGACCCAUCUCCGGGAACCCUGCCUCCCAGGUAAUGAGGGCUAAGCUAAAAUACCUUUGUUCGGCUCACAGGAGACAUCCUGACCUGGCCCACCUGUGAACGGAUGCAGGAAGGCAGAAACUGACACAUCCCUUCUGAAGGCUGACCAGAACCAGGAUUUGACCCCUUCCCCUUCCAGUAUAAAAGCAGCCUGCAUUCUAACUCAGGGAAAAUGGGUCUUCGGGGUGCUAGUCCCCCAUUGUCUCAGUUGACUGGCUUUCUAAAUAAAAUUGCUAUUCCUUGUACCAGCAACUGGUCUUUAGAUCCACUGGCCUGUCGUGCAGAGAGCAGUACAGCACUUACGACCGUAACAGCCACUUACGACCGUUUCAUUAGGCCCCCUUCAUCUCCUGCCCACCGAGGUGGGAAAGAUACAUCAGUAUCCAGUUGAUCAAGUAAGACCUAAGUUUAGUUGUAGACUCCAUAACAAUCUAUGUACAAACCAAAUCUAUAUCCAUCUCUGCUUUCAUUUGCUGUGGGUUAGUUAAAUCGAGCAGGCAGCUAGAAUAUGCAGCCAAUGCAGAAUGUGGAUUAAAUAGAUAAAUGAAGUAUUUAUAGCACGUGUGAUUAUUAAUUUUAGUACAGAGUAAAACUCUUACAGUGUGGUUUAGAAAGGUUGUGUUUUUCACUUUUUUAAAAUGAAGGAAUGAUAUUUUAAUUUAUUUUUUGUGUGUUUUGUGGUUUGCGUUCCUAGGUUUUCCUACAAGCUUUGCUCACAAUUCUAACUCAUGGUCCUUGGCUAUGUCUUCAUAUAUCAUUACAGUCAUCCUUUAAAUGAACAAAAUGGUCCCUUGAACCGUGGAAGAGGUGAAUGACCUUUUGAAAUAAAAACACACUGGUGCAAUGCAGCCAGAAGAGCCAAACGAGUUGCAGCCAGAUCAGAAGUGAUUGGUUCAGCGGAGGUGCACCUGCCAAAUCAAAGCUGCCAGCUGGGCGAUUCUUGCGCAUUUUCCUAAGUGGCUGUUGUAUAAAAUAUUGAGGCUGUAUAUGUAAGCAACCAUCACUCUGAUGUUUAAAGAGUCUUGUUCUUUUAUUUUUCCUUCCUGGAAUGGAGAGGCAAGAGACCGGGGCCGACAUAUCGAGGACAAGAAACCAAAUCAAACAGUGACUUCUUCUUUAAAGUAAGCCGGGCAAAGUCUUCCCACAGCAGAUGUAAUCGGGAGCUGCCUUUCUGCAGACAGAGAGAGGAGGGGCACAGCAAAGUGAUUCAGCUAUGGAAAUACAUAUAUAUCUAUUCUCUUUCAAAUCGUCUCCCAUGCAGGCUGCUACAGAAUGCUGAGUAGUUGCCUGUGCCACAUGUUGCCGAGUCAUUUCCCACUAUUUGUGAUCCCAUGGACUAUAGCAUGCCGGGCUUCCCUGUUCUCCACUAUCUCCUGGAGUUUGCUCAGCUGCUGCUCGUCUUCGUGGCGCCUAACUGAAGUGUCAGCGAGCGGCAUUUGCGUUUCUCACGUUGCUGCGGCAGCUCUGUGCUUCCAAGAUGAAAAGUUGAUCCUCGAAACAAUUAAAUUAAAAAUUAUGUAAAACC